Molecule: ribosomal RNA, 460 nt
Filed under: uncultured bacterium
Lineage: Bacteria
Description: partial 16S ribosomal RNA
Rfam family: Bacterial small subunit ribosomal RNA
Source: RNAcentral
CCUACGGGUGGCAGCAGUGAGGAAUAUUGGUCAAUGGGCUUACGCCUGAACCAGCCAAGUCGCGUGAGGGAAGACUGCCCUAUGGGUUGUAAACUUCUUUUGUCAGGGAGCAAUGUGCGCUACGUGUAGCGUUUUCGAGAGUACCUGAAGAAAACGCCUCGGCUAACUCCGUGCCAGCAGCCGCGGUAAUACGGAGGAUGCGAGCGUUAUCCGGAUUUAUUGGGUUAAAAGGGUGCGUAGGCGGUAUGCCCAGUCAGCGGUAAAAUCGCGGGGCUCAACCUCGCUCUGCCGUUGAAACUGGCGGUCUUGAGUGUGCGAAAAGUAUGCGGAAUGCGUGGUGUAGCGGUGAAAUGCAUAGAUAUCACGCAGAACUCCGAUUGCGAAGGCAGUAUACCGGCGCCCAACUGACGCUGAAGCACGAAAGCGUGGGUAUCGAACAGGAUUAGAUACCCUUGUAGUC